RNAcentral lists this long non-coding RNA (3162 nucleotides) under Sus scrofa (pig). RNAcentral's name for it is "lncRNA (ENSSSCG00005013102.1)". Lineage: Eukaryota; Metazoa; Chordata; Mammalia; Artiodactyla; Suidae. The record is from RNAcentral.
GUUUCUUUUUUUAAAUAACAUUUUCGCUUUUGCUUUUCUAGGUUUGUUUAUCUCAGAUUUUAGUGUUUCCUUGUAAUACACUUUUUCCAACGUAAGAGUUAAUUGUAUUCUCUCUUGAUGGUCUGAACACUCUCCCUGCCUUUCUUAAAGCAGCAGAUCUUUGGUUUUGAAGAGGAUUACGGUAUUGGUGCUUUUUAUUGCUGGUUAUACCUAGGUAUAACCAGCCUUCAUGUGGCUGGGAAGUCAUUUGUUUUUAAUAGUCCAGAAUGCUCCUGUCUGAUAUUUAGCAUUUCUUUGUCUUUUCACAUGAUUUUUUGACUCCAAGAGAAAUCCAAGAAAAUUUGAACUAAUUGUUGAGAUGUUUAAGGUGAUGACGAAAUGUGCUCUUACUUUGACGAUUAUUAAGACACAGAAGCUAGCUCUUGGUUUUGAAAUCAUAUAACCAUGUAUCUUCAUUUUUAAUCUUUCUUCUCCCAUUUAUCACUCCAGCUGUUCUGUUGCUACCUUGUUCUUUUGUGUUUCUGUCCUGCUUCCCUGUCUUUUUUCUUCCUGUUUGUGCAUAUGUGUGUUCAUUAAAUUCCCGAUUUUAGGCUAAAUUUGGUGGAAAGCCUUACUUGCUCAGAUUAGGGAAACCAGGUGUGACCGAAUGCUGCAUUUACUUGGUCUCUCUUUUGGGGAAUGAGCUCAUUAUUGAAUUAGUCUAUUCAUAAUAACAUUGACAAGCAGACGUUAAGAACAUGGAGGCCUGAGGGAUACAGAGAAGCAUUACUAAUUCUCUGAGGAAUAUAAUUCCUAAAUUCAAUCAUCCUUUUUUUAAAUGAUUUUUUUUUAUUUAGCUGAAGUAAGUAAGUUAACACAGCUUUUGGCAGACAGUGUGGGGCCCGAACACAUACUGGGGGAAAAAAAAAAACCUACCAUCUGAAUAGUGAAAUGCUGACUGGGCAGUAUUGAGGUUGGCAUUGAUGAGCCAUUAUUAUUACUAUUUACUUUUUUUUUUGCUUUUUAGGGCCACACCUGUGGCAUAUGGAGGUUCCCAGGUUAGGAGUCGAAUUGGAGCUGCAGCUGCUGGCCUACGCCACAGCCACAGCAAUGUGGGAUCAGAGCUGAGUAUGUGACCUAUACCACAGCUCACGGCAAUGCUGGAUCCUUAAGCUGGUGAGCAAGGCCAGGGAUUGAACCCAUAUUCUCAUGGAUAUUAGUCAGGUUCAUUAUGCUGAGCCACAACCGGGACUCCCUACUCUUUACUCUGAAUGGAUUUUGAAGGGAGGUAGGCUAGCAUAGAUACCACAUCAUUUUUACUGGUCUUGCAAGCUCCAAGAGGCCCAGAUUUUUUUCUUUUUCCUCAGUACAUGGUCUAGAAUAAGUGUUCCUUUUGUACAUUGGAUGAAUGAAUACGUAGCAAAUGAAGACUUCUUUUUGUGGUAAAGAGCUUAGAUGAUGACAAAGUUAAGUUUAUGUUUAAUGCACUGAACAUUUUAACCAGCCGAGGUGGAUUGAGGAGACACAGAGCAUCUCCCUUACAAUUCUUUCUUUGUAGAGGGAAGUGUUUCAAAAAGAAAUACUGGGCAGUUCCUGCCAUGGCUCAGUGGAAAUGCACCCAACUAGCAUCCAUGAGGACACAGGUUUGCUCCCUGGCUUCAUUCAGUGGGUUAAGGAUCUGUCAUUGCAAUGAGCUGCGGUAUAGAUCGCAGUUGAGGCUCUGAUCUGGCAUUGCUGUGGCUGUGGCAUAAGCCAGCAGCUGCAGCUCCGAUUUGACCCCUAGCCUGGGAACUUGCAUAUGCCACGGGUGUGGCCCUAAAAAGACCAGAAAAAGGAGAGGAGUACUGUAUCCCUGCCAUUCAUAGUCUCAGCUUCAUUUUCUUUUGCUCUCUUGUAAACUCAUAUACAUAAACACACUUUAUAGACUUAUUUUUUUCUAUUCUUGUUUUUAGUAGGGACAGGUUUUAUGAAAUGGGCUCCAUCAAUUCAAAUAAAUUUGAAGCUAUGUAAAAUAAAUGUAACAGCACUACCAAAAUAGCCAGAAAUAAUAGACUGCAGUAGCGUGUCUCAGCAUUCUUUAAGCAAUGUCUAAUCAAGCAUGGACAGCAUCUGUAUUUCCAGCAAGUCUCCAUAGGAAUGUUACCUUCUAACACAGUAAUUAAUCACUAGUUGCCGUGUGUCAGAAAACUUAACAAGAAGUUCCAAGGCUCUUGUAGUGUUUCAUUUUCAUGGCCUUCCUGGCCACUGGAAAAUAGAACACUCUUUUCCUCAUAAAGAAAUGAGAGAUCUGGACUGAUUCCAUCUGUAUUGAUUCUUCUACUUGUGGUCUUAAGUUGUCUCUCUCACUCUUGUUUUUUUUUUUUUUUUUAAAUGCACGCCUUUUCUCUAAUCACUCAUGUGGAUAAAUCUUGGGUGAGAUCAGGAUAGCUUAUAACAUUACAGGGAUUGCAGAGCCCCUGUCUCUGCUGGAGUUUUGACACUUUUUACCCAACCGGUGAUUUUUAGACUCCCAAGGGGCCUUGUCCUGAAAAAUCAGUACAGACUGUUUAGGAAGUGGAAGGCCUUUCCGAGUGUGCUCUUCAUCACACAUCAUCUUACCCUCAGCUGCCAGGUGCUUCUCCAGAACUGAGUCAUUGAAACAACCCAGGAGUCCAGGCAGUGCAUGACGGGAGACGUCUGAAUGGGCACUGAAGUGCCCAGGGUGGACCCGGCAGUUCGCAUGAAGGCGUCAUUGAAAAAACAUCCCCGUUUCCUUCCCAGAACUCCCAUCUCCUUCUCCAUCUCCCUUCUGGGUGUGUCGCCCGUCUUUUCUCCUUCAUCUCUCCUGUUGCCUCUCUCAUGUCUCCUUGAUUUUGUGGUCCUUUUGGUUUUCUUUAGACUAGUCAUGUGUCUCAUUCUUGAGUCUGACAAAAAAUAAGGAAAUGGAAGCUGAGGUUCAGGAAGGGGUUAGGUUCUAACCCAUGAGAAAGCUUCCUCAGGAGUUCCCAUCGUGGCUCCGUGGAAACAAAUCUGACUCACAACCAUGAGGACGCGGGUUUGAUCCCUGGCCUCGCUCAGUGGGUUCAGGAUCUGGCGUUGCCAUGAGCUGUGGUGUAGGUCGCAGAUGCGGCUUGGAUCUCACGUGGCUGUGGCUGUGGCCGGCGGCUACAGCUCCGAUUCAACCCUUAACCUGGGAACCUCCAU